UCUCGAGCAGCAACUGGCUGAGAUAACUAUUGAAACUGAGGCAGGUAACAUCAAAGAUGUGGUCACCAGAUACCAGCGACUGCUAAACUUGACAAAGAAGGGGUACACUAUGUCUAUGGCUUUUCAAAAGGCGGGCGUGUCAAGGAAUGCCGUGGCUGCCACUGCACCCAUUGCUGAGCUGUUCAUUGCAGAAAGACAGGUGUUGGAGCAAUUGCCUUUUUGCAGAAAACUGUCUGACCUAGUGAAGUUAUGCACUGAGAAAAUAAUUGGAGAAAUUGAAGAAAAAGUGGUAGAGAUGAAAAGAAAAAGAGAGUUACUUCCAUUCCAACUAAAAUAAGCCUUCAUGGGGGUGACAGAAACUACUCACUAUAGCUUUUCACUAAAUGCUCAUAUUAUGCUUUUUGGUUUUUCCCUUUCCUUUAUUAUGUUGUCUUUUUUGUGCAUGUAAUAGGCUUCCAAAGUGAAAAAGCCCAUCGUUUGUAUUAGAGGCUCUGUUUUUGUUUUAGAUGUGUACAUUUUGUUUGACCAGGCAAUACAAUGCUGUGAUUUUUUGUUUCAUUAUUUGUUCUUUGUGAAUGUACUGAACAUGUUGAUCAGCAGAUAUGUAAA
This is a long non-coding RNA of Perca fluviatilis (European perch), 609 nucleotides long. RefSeq lists it as uncharacterized. The record is from RefSeq and is a predicted model, not a curated record. The transcript is spliced from 2 exons. Lineage: Eukaryota; Metazoa; Chordata; Actinopteri; Perciformes; Percidae.